Molecule: ribosomal RNA, 103 nt
Filed under: uncultured bacterium
Lineage: Bacteria
Description: partial 16S ribosomal RNA
Rfam family: Bacterial small subunit ribosomal RNA
Source: RNAcentral
CAACGCCGCGUGAGGGAUGAAGGCCUUCGGGUCGUAAACCUCUUUUCUCAGGGAAGAUAAUGACGGUACCUGAGGAAAGAAAGCCCACGGACUAACUACGUGC